This 113-nucleotide small RNA is filed under the name Yersinia pestis Angola. RNAcentral describes it as "SraH RNA". The record is from RNAcentral. RNAcentral also lists the same sequence under 9 other names. Lineage: Bacteria; Pseudomonadati; Pseudomonadota; Gammaproteobacteria; Enterobacterales; Yersiniaceae.
GUAUGAUGUAUGAAAGAAUCCUGACAACCUGCGAAUUCACUCGAAAUCGAAAUAAUACGCAGGUUAACGUUUUCCCUGGUGUUGGCGCAGUCUUCGCGCACCCCGGCCUCGGU